Suricata suricatta (meerkat) is the source of this 451-nucleotide long non-coding RNA. RefSeq lists it as uncharacterized. Lineage: Eukaryota; Metazoa; Chordata; Mammalia; Carnivora; Herpestidae. The transcript is spliced from 3 exons. The record is from RefSeq and is a predicted model, not a curated record.
AUGACUUGAAGAGUUUUAUGUGUAUUAACUCAAUUAAUCCGCACAAAAACCCAAGGAAGUGGACACAAAUAGCCCCAGAACAGGGAGAAGGAGAUUGUGAAGAAAGCUCAUGGGACAGAGCAUCAUCACUGACUCGUGAUGUCUGUCAUGGACAGAGGACUGGGUGAAGUAUCCUACAGAACAGAGAUUUGCCUUCCCUCCUGGAUACAUUUCCCCUAUGUCCUCCUUCAAAAUGAAUGCCCACCGUUGGCAUGGGUGCCAAAGCGAAGACUGCGCCACCUUGGAAUCGUCCUUCUCCGUCAGUACUCAGUCUUUCAGUGCAUCACCAAACAGUCAGUCAGCGCUGAUAUUACAGUUCCUAUAUAGUUCUCAAAUACUUCUACUUUUCUGCAUCUUUUCUGAAACUACCCUUCUCCAAGAAACCAACUAAAUAACUGGAUGAGCUUACCGA